This 2693-nucleotide long non-coding RNA is filed under the name Salvia miltiorrhiza (redroot sage). RNAcentral describes it as "long non-coding RNA (SMIL_LNC010868)". Lineage: Eukaryota; Viridiplantae; Streptophyta; Magnoliopsida; Lamiales; Lamiaceae. The record is from RNAcentral.
AAAGUCGGGCUAUGCCCCUUUGGAUCACAAGUUUUGUUUCAUGCUUCUGACAACCGACAUUCAUUGGCAUAAAUUAAGUAGUGAAGAGUCUAAGCUCGGUCAGGUAUAUCAUUUGAAAUUUAACAUGAAGAUCUUAAGUUGGGAAAAACAAAAGACUGAUAUGAGUAAUUGCUACAGCGGAAGUCUAACAUAGGAAUUUAUCGCUAGCCUCAGCUCCGUCCCGUCAGCACCAGCCAGCCAACCUGAAAACAUUUGAAAGUAUUUUUGGGCUAAGUACUAAUGUACUUAGUGGGCAUGCAUUUUCUGAAACAUCUCAUAUUUUAAUAAAGACAGUUUAUCCAAUUAUACUUGACAUGACUUAGAAGGUUUUAAAAUGAAAUAACUUCUAAGCAUGUUAAAAUAUUUUCUUUCAUUUGUGCGCACAUGUCACACUCCCUUUCUGUUACUCGCUGUGAUCCCGGACCUUUUAGCCACCGACGGAUCUCUGUCUCCUGCUUACUUGAACUGAGGGCGUAACCCAGACAAGUUUACUUUGACCUCGGGACGCUACCCAGGCAGGCCUGAUAUUUCUCAUGCUCCGGAACACAUCCAGCCGAGCACCCUUAUAACGCCUCUGGUUAGAGCCCGAUGGAGAUCAACCCACCGAGUCAACUAACAAGUGUACACAAUUCUCAAACAACGUAUUAGGUCAUAAGAGAACCUCAAUUGAUUAACUGUGCGAGCCUUAAACAGAGCAGAGUGCACAUAAAUAUUUUAUUGGAUAAACAGUUUUCAUUACAUUAAAUAAACAAUUUGCAUUUCAUUGAAACAUUUAGAGCUUAAUAACUCAAUCAUACUUUGUACAUUUGGAAAGUAAGCCCACCUGGAUAGGCAAAGCCUGUCGUAUAACCUUAACCUGAAUCGGAAAAGCAGCGCUAAUCCUCCUGAUGCACAAAGCCUACAAGAAAUUCUAUUCUCAAUAGGUCUCUUGAAUCUAAUCUUAAGUCAUGGUGUAGUGCUUAAUAUUCUAUGAUUCACUUAGCCGGGUUUUCAAAAUUUAAUAAAUAAAUAAUUGAAAACUAAAUUCUUGAGUUAAGGACACCAACAAUAUCCUUACUCGAUUUUCUUUAGAUAAUUGGAAUUAUAAUUAAAACCAAUUAAAUACUUUUAUUGCAAAAUAAAUGCAAUUUCAUGUCAUGCUUAACAUAUAAUAAGAAAUUACUUAAAAUAUGCUAAUAAUAAUAAUUUAAUAUUAUUAUAAAAAUUUACUCUUUGAAAAUAAUUAAUUAAACUUAAUAAGUCUAAUUAAUUAUAAUAGUGUAGCUCCUUUAAAUAAAAUCUGCACAAAUCCAAUUAAAUUAAUACUUGGGCAGCCCAUGAUUUAAAAUAAUUAAAGGCCCAGCUUAAAAAAAAAUCGGCCCAACUGACUCGGCCCAAAAUUAAGAAAUAACCCAGCCCAUUUAAUUAAAAAUAUCGGCCCAAAAACUCAUAAAAAAUCGGCCCAUUGAAAAUUUAAAACAAAGGCCCAACAUUCAAAGCCCAAUAAUCAAAACCAAUUCCCAAAACCCAAACCUAAAGCCCACACUCCCUCCCCCUUCUUCUUCUUCACAGAUCACACGCCUCUCACGCACACACACAUAGCUUUUCUCUUUCUCCCUCAGUUCCGCCAUAUCCGCCCCUUCUCCCUCGAAAUUCCGCCGCCGCGGCUCCUCCUCCGGCGAGAAGCCGACGACCGGCCCUCUCACUCUCCCUCAUCUUCUUCUCCCUCGUUUUCCCUCUACCUAGCCACCCGUCGAUCUCUCUCCUCCUUGGCGACGGCGAGACGCCACCACCUCCCUCCAUCUAGCAGACUCCCGGCGACAGCAGCCCAGACCGCCGCCGUUCUCCGCUCAGAUCUCCGAUCCUCAUCUCUCUUCUCUAGUUCCGGCCGCAGCCGUUCUCCCCUCUGUUCACCGAACCCGGCGGGAACAGCCUCUGUUCUCCCUCUCUCCCUUGGCCACGACGGACGCCGCCGCCUCCCUCGGCCUCCCUCUGUGCAACAUCCGGCGACAGCAGCCAUGGCUGCCGCCGUCGACUCUCGUCUGACUCACAGACGCUCACACACACAGACCCUGAUUCCCUCCCCUCUCAGUUUUUCGCCCUUGGCCGGACAGCAGCGGCACCGCCGCCGUGCCCUGCUUCCCUCCAUUCUCUCAUCCGCCUCAGUCAUCUUCUCCCUCAACUCGCCAGCCGACCGACAGUGGCGCCGAGCCACCGCCUUCGACCAGAGCCCAGACUCGACAGACAAGGAAACAAAAUCAAGGCUCAAACUUUUCUUUCUUCUUUUCAACAAGAAUGUUUCAUGAAAAUAGAAAUACAUAUUUGUAUGCUCAUGUAUGUAAAUGUCAUUUUGUUUCAAAAACUUGAUACACGAAACUGAAUUUGCUAUAUGGGAAAUCAGUAGCGUGUGAUUCAAUUGAAUGGCUGAAAAUCUUAACAUGAUAUCAAUGGGUUGCUCAAUCGAAAAGGGAAAUAAAGCAACGAGUUAAAGUUUGAACCUUUAGAAUUUCACUUCAAUUUCUGAAAUGGUUGGCUGCUAAGUUUGUUUGGUUGCUCUGCUCUUGAACUUUGUUUGGGGUGAUGGAACGAAGAGAGUGUGUGAGAUGAAGUGGAAAGCAUGAUUGAAAUUCCAUAGUGAUGAAUGAGGUGUAAUGCAUGUAUGAUAGUGAUGAAUG